This 482-nucleotide ribosomal RNA is filed under the name uncultured bacterium. RNAcentral describes it as "partial 16S ribosomal RNA". It matches the Rfam family "Bacterial small subunit ribosomal RNA", at positions 30 to 507 of the family's 1533-position model. The record is from RNAcentral.
AUUGAACGCUGGCGGCAUGCCUUAUACAUGCAAGUCGAACGGUAACGGGCCUUCGGGUGCCGACGAGUGGCGAACGGGUGAGUAAUACAUCGGAACGUGCCCGACCGUGGGGGAUAACGAGGCGAAAGCUUUGCUAAUACCGCAUACGAUCUACGGAUGAAAGCAGGGGACCGCAAGGCCUUGCGCGGACGGAGCGGCCGAUGGCCGAUUAGGUAGUUGGUGGGAUAAAAGCUUACCAAGCCGACGAUCUGUAGCUGGUCUGAGAGGAUGAUCAGCCACACUGGGACUGAGACACGGCCCAGACUCCUACGGGAGGCAGCAGUGGGGAAUUUUGGACAAUGGGCGCAAGCCUGAUCCAGCCAUGCCGCGUGCAGGAUGAAGGCCUUCGGGUUGUAAACUGCUUUUGUACGGAACGAAAAGCCUUCUUUUAAUACAGGAGGGUCAUGACGGUACCGUAAGAAUAAGCACCGGCUAACUACGUG